Molecule: ribosomal RNA, 659 nt
Filed under: uncultured bacterium
Lineage: Bacteria
Description: bacterial SSU rRNA
Rfam family: Bacterial small subunit ribosomal RNA
Source: RNAcentral
AGUGGCGGACGGGUGAGUAACGCGUGAGAAUCUGCCUUGGGGUCGGGGACAACCACUGGAAACGGUGGCUAAUACCGGAUACGCCUUCGGGUAAAAGAUUUAUUGCCCUAAGAGGAGCUCGCGUCUGAUUAGCUAGUUGGUGAGGUAAGAGCUCACCAAGGCAGCGAUCAGUAGCUGGUCUGAGAGGACGAUCAGCCACACUGGGACUGAGACACGGCCCAGACUCCUACGGGAGGCAGCAGUGGGGAUUUUCCGCAAUGGGCGAAAGCCUGACGGAGCAAGACCGCGUGAGGGAGGAAGGCUCUUGGGUUGUAAACCUCUUUUCUCAGGGAAGAAGCUCUGACGGUACCUGAGGAAUCAGCCUCGGCUAACUCCGUGCCAGCAGCCGCGGUAAUACGGAGGAGGCAAGCGUUAUCCGGAAUUAUUGGGCGUAAAGCGUCCGCAGGUGGCGAUUCAAGUCUGCUGUCAAAGCACGGGGCUUAACUCCGUAAAGGCAGUGGAAACUGAAUAGCUAGAGUGCCGUAGGGGUAGAGGGAAUUCCCGGUGUAGCGGUGAAAUGCGUAGAGAUCGGGAAGAACAUCGGUGGCGAAAGCGCUCUACUGGACGGCAACUGACACUCAGGGACGAAAGCUAGGGGAGCGAAUGGGAUUAGAUACCCC